Molecule: signal recognition particle RNA, 87 nt
Filed under: human gut metagenome
Description: Bacterial small signal recognition particle RNA
Rfam family: Bacterial small signal recognition particle RNA
About the family: The signal recognition particle (SRP) is a universally conserved ribonucleoprotein involved in the co-translational targeting of proteins to membranes. Archaeal SRP consists of a 7S RNA and homologues of the eukaryotic SRP19 and SRP54 proteins.
Source: RNAcentral
GGGUCUUGCGCAAUACGUGCCAGUGAAUCGUGUCAGGGCGGGAACGCAGCAGCACUAAGCAGGAAUUCGUAUGUGACGUGAGGGCGC